Molecule: long non-coding RNA, 3600 nt
Organism: Passer domesticus (house sparrow)
Lineage: Eukaryota; Metazoa; Chordata; Aves; Passeriformes; Passeridae
Exons: 2
Source: RefSeq, a predicted model, not a curated record
AAGGAGGAAUGUCUACCCCACCUGUAUUUCAAUGCCACCACUUGGCUCAGCCUCCUUUCCUUAGACCUACAAGUUUUUUCCCAGUGUGUGAAAUGCCUCCUCUUUAGAAAGGCAUAUUCCAGAACCUGGCAAAACAGCAGGGGUGAUGGAUGGAUUGAGAGCAGCCCUGUGAAGAAGGACUGGGCCAUCCUUGAGAAAGGAAAUACUGGAUAUGAGCUGGCACUGUGUGCUUGCAGCCCUGACACCCCUCUGUACCUGUGCCUAAACAGGGAUGUCCAACAAGUCAAGGGAGGGAAUUCUGCCCCUCUGCUGGAGUGAAAGCCAGGAAAAGGAUGCCUGUGAAUGUUGUGGAUGUCCCAUCAUUGGUAGUGUUCAGGGUCAGGUUGGAUGAGGGUCUGAGGAAUGUGGUCUAGUGGAAAGUGUCCCUGACCAUGGCAGAGAGAGAAAGGCCCCAGACCCUGAGGAGUCUCCCCACCCCUGCCAGAGUCCCCCCUGCCAGUAGCACCAGCAAGGCUCCUUCAGCCCCUUAUUUCAGAGACAAGAAAGAAAUAGUUGUUAUUUCCCCCACAGAGUCUCUGGGCUCUGCUUCCUCAGCCUUCCCCUUGUGCCCCACCACGGGUGGCACCCAUGUCCUGUGGGGCACAGCCUUAGGCCCAGGGCCAUGGGGGCAGCACCUUUUCCCACAGGAAAUCCAAGGCUCCAAUCUCUCUGGAUCUCUCUGCAUGGCAUCUUGUUGUUGUGGUGGGUUUUCAUUUUCUUUAUUUGCUAUAUUUUAUUGCUUGAUUUGUGGUUUUUUUAAUCCCUCUGUGUUUUUCUCCCCGCCUUUGGAGUAGCACAGGUUCCCCAUUUUGUAUCUUAUGUUGCUAAAUUUAGACUUGCUCCCUCGUUGUUAUUCAGCUUGGUUAACUGUCUUUGUGUUUGUUGCCUGGCCACUCCCUGCCAAAUUGUCAAUCCCUCUUGUCCCUACUCUUUUUCCCCCAACACCUUCCCUGCUCCUUCCCUCCUCAGAUGUCAAUCCUUCCCUAAGCCUGCCUUUUUCUCCAGAACCUUCUUUGUCAGUUCUCUAUCCUUUGAAACCCCAUUGGUUUACUUAAGCCUUUCCCCUCCCUUCAGAUCCUCUAUUGGUUUACAGAUUGUAUUUCCCCACCUUGUGUUCCACCGUCAGUCCUCUCAAUUGGUUAACAAUUGUAUUCUCCCCCAAGACCAUCCCUGUUUAUAUAAGUUAGUACCUGUCCUUGGUUCAGGGUCUUGGGACUUUGGACUUGGGGAGUUUACCAUCAAAUAAAGCUACCCCUGUUGCGACUCCAAGACCCGUGCUGCUUUGUUAAUCUGUGCCAAACCUCUGCUGGCAGCUGGAAUUCUGCGGGGUCUGCCAGGGGGAUCUGUCACACCCCUGUUCUCUCUGUCGCUGGGCUGGGCACACAUAGCCUCUACACCACAACAUCUUGUCCCUCAAGAGAGUCAACAGCCCCUCCCAGUUUGAGAUCAGCAGCAGCCUUGAAUUGGGACAUUUAACUGCGGCAUCCCAAUCUUUGAAAAAUCCCAACCUUCUCCUCCAGCCGAGCUUCCAGCUGUCCCUCACUUGGUCAGUUCCUACGAGGUGUCCCACAACAACACAGCGAGGCCCACAAGACCCUGCUGGCAGCCUGGCUGCCCUGAUUCAGACACAUUUUCCUUUCUUCCCACAGUUCUGCAGCUUGAACAAUGGGAAGGGGCCCUUGUUUGGUCAGCAGUGAAGUGUCAGACUGCACCUUGCUGGCUCAGUGCCCUUCCCAGGCUUCAGGAUUCAGGUGGGGAGGACAACUCAGCACAGGCAGGAGGAGAAAAGUUGAGCUGCACCCCUGGGGCACCAUUUGUGUAUUUGCAGAUUUCCUUUGUUCAGGGGCCUACAUGCUGUCCUUGUCACCUCAGGGGUGCUGCCAGCAUGGAGGCCUGGCCUUGUCAUUGUGCAGAUGAAAGAACUGCUGCCAAAACAAAAGGCAGAAUUCCUUCCUGGGUUUGGAGCCCCCUAGACAGGACCCAUUCUACUGAGCAAGCAAGGCUGAACAGUCCCACAGCCCUAAACACAGCUGCAAAGUGUCCUUGUGCCCAUCACCCUCGAUCCAGAAGGGCUGCAGAGAGGACAAACUCUGAGCUUUAAACCAAAAGGGACAAAAUCAUGCACAGGGCCUGGCCUGGAAGGCCUGGAUGUGAUGGCCGCUCCCAGGGAGAGAGACCAGAGGCCCUGUGAGUAGAGACCAGGACUGUUCCCAGGAAACCAUGGCAAGGUGUCAGGAGCAGGCAUUAGAGACAGGGCCAGGGAGAUGUGAUGCAGGUGGCUGAGGGAGAGCAUCAUGGAGAUGAAACUAGGAAAUUAAAACUAGGAAACAGGAUUUCCUUUGUUCUCUGACAACAUGUGCCUGCAGGGAUGGAAGGCCUCCUGUGUAAUCACAGUGUUAGAAAUGAACUUUUAGAUACAAAUAAAUGGAGAGACAAUGUUGUGGAGGCAAAAGAAAUCUGUUUAUUAGUAACAAUUCACCUGAGCUGCAGGUAUGCCCUCUUUCCCUCAAGAGCCAAACACACACACCCUCCAAAAAAGGACUACAUUUUAUCCCCUUUCCUGGCCAGGGGCGAUCCCUGUCCCCUUUCCCAUUGCCUGGGUACUUGGGAAUUCCUAUUCUCUCCUCACUACCUUCUUUUCUGUCCCCACUCCUCUGAUCCUACUUCCUUUUUGGUCAUGUCUUUAACUUGGCUGUUUUCCCAGCUCACAGCAACAAAUUAACUGGAGCAAUUCCAAACCAGAAGUUACAACACACAGAAUGAACGACUUUCAUUUUUUUACCUAAUAACCUUUUAGGUUCAGCAAAAUAUUACCUUAUCGCUGACAACAGGGUAGAGGACUCUGAUGUCACCAACCUCUGGAUGAUGACAUCAGGAAUUGCUGGAUUGUGACCUCACCUUCUCUCCCUGCUUAUCUUGGGGUUCCAAGGAGUUUCAAUGCUUUUUGUGCUGUCACAGGGGUUGGAGGCUGGUGUCAGAGAGCAGUGGGCUGUGACAUCACAGGGGGAUGCAUUGUGACAUUAUGCCCCUCAGUUCCAAGGGAUACUUCUGAAAAAUACCUCCCAAAGUAAAUCUUUCUCCAAGCAGAUGGACUGGCAAAACCCAUAAUCUGUGAGCAGAAGACCGGAAUACUUUUGCCUGUUGGAAAAAUGCCAAAGCAACGUGCUCUUGACUAGACAUUCUCUUGUCCUUACCAUAAAGAAAAAGACACUGAACAAACUGAAACAUCAGGGAUUUUGUGGGAGCAGAAAGGAGAGACAAAAUCUGUUUCAUUCUUUAAGUUGUCUGGAAAAAUUCUGCAAGUUUGCAAAGUGCACAGAGAUGCAGUCACUAGAAUGAGGCCGUUACUCACAUCUGGCAUCCCUAAGCCUUUGCCUCAGUUUUCAGAGAGUUUGUAAGUGAGGGAUACAUGCAAGAUUUGUCUAAUUAGUAAAGGUAAAGAUUCACUUAGGGUUUGAUGUGUGGGGAUCUCUGCAGUCCCAGAAGGCAUGCUGAGACCAAUUUCUUUGGUUUCAUUCCCUCACAGCAAAAAAAAAAAAAAAAAGGAAAAAAAAAACCCAA